RNAcentral lists this long non-coding RNA (407 nucleotides) under Ananas comosus (pineapple). RNAcentral describes it as "long non-coding RNA (ACOM_LNC010397)". The record is from RNAcentral. Lineage: Eukaryota; Viridiplantae; Streptophyta; Magnoliopsida; Poales; Bromeliaceae.
UUGGAUGUAUAUGUAGGGUUUUUUAGUGCAAUAGUUUUUUUCUAAAAUUUUAUUCUAAAAAUAAAUCUGUUAAAUUUUUAUUUAUAAAUAUGGUCCUAUGAAAGCAGUGAAUGGUUCACCGUUUUUAAAAGCGGUGAACCAUUCACCGCUUUCUUUCUUUUUCCCACUUCUUUCUAUAUUUCUACGAUGGUAAAAGCGGUGAAUGGUUCACCGCUUUUAUUAUUUUUCUACUCCUAAACAGGAAUUAUGAAUGCGGUGAAUCAUUCACCGCAUUUAAAGGUCUAUUUUUAUAAUUAUUAUUUUAAAAAAAUUAUUUUUACAAUUAUAAAAAUCGAUAGGAUUAUUUAUAAAAAAAAUUCGUAUAUGUACAUCGCAUAUACUUUAUCAUUAAAGUUUAUAAAAGAAAU